AUAAUAAGAUAAACAAUGAAAUCUUUGUUACAGUUGCCUAAAACCAAUUUGUCCAUAGGUCGUAUAAGCCGAUGCAACUCUUAAAUAACUCCUCUACUAAAUCCUCAAUGAAACCAUGAUUGAUGCCUACCGACUUAAAUAAAUCUAACUUACAAGCACAACCUUAUUGGUUGAACUUAACCGAUACAACAUAAGGUUGAUAAUUGCCUAUCGGCUUGAUAACCAAUCGGCUUGGUUAACUAUUUAUCUUUUCAGUUGUAGAUCAAACUGAACGGUACACUCGUGUAUUCUAAGAAUUUAGGUACUGCACUAGAGCGAUCUAAGAAAGACUCCCAGGCCUUCCUAUGUGACACGUUAUCGGAUCAACUUUUGACGUCAAUAGUAAGUUGGAGAUGUGGCUAACACCUUUCCUGGGUAGCCUUGUCUAUCGGGUCAUCUUGUCCACCGCCUCAUGUCGAUGGACAUGACCCUCACUUGUCAAAGGCCACCCACAUGUUGCAUUAGCCUUUCUCUAGGAGAUGAUGCGACCAUGGAGGGUUAGGUAGAGGUCUCCACGCCUCCACGCAUGCAGAUUUGUUGGCAACCUCCAUGCCGACUCCUCCCAGCUAGCUCGGGCCUAUGCAUACAUGCCUCACUUCAUACAACACUUAAUGCUUCCAUGCCGACCAAUGGAUGAUCUCAACGCUCUUUUUUCUUGGUGCGGUUUGAGCUUCUAGAGAGGGGAAGUGGGAUCCCGCUCAGGACUACUUCAGACCUUGAUCAUCUCCCUGGUUGCUUUCCUAGGCAUCAUCAACCCCGGUGUCCCGAAGGCACAAGUCCAAAGGUCAUGACGUACUUGACCUUGGAAACACUAACCCCUUCAUUAUAAGGAGUUCAUGAUGGAUAUGUUAGGGAAUUCAUGAUAAACAUGGCCUUGGAAGGGGUGCUGAUACUAGACGCACCUUUUUGAACACAUGAGCGGUGCCUAUCUCAUCCGUUGCUCGUUCUCUUGGCAAGGGGGCUUUAAGUGACCUCCAGGAGAUGAUGAGCCCCCGAGGUUUGGGGGCUCGUGG
RNAcentral lists this long non-coding RNA (1052 nucleotides) under Oryza brachyantha (malo sina). RNAcentral's name for it is "long non-coding RNA (OBRA_LNC002397)". Lineage: Eukaryota; Viridiplantae; Streptophyta; Magnoliopsida; Poales; Poaceae. The record is from RNAcentral.